This 1400-nucleotide long non-coding RNA is filed under the name Heterocephalus glaber (naked mole-rat). Its description in RNAcentral is "lncRNA (ENSHGLG00000050370.1)". Lineage: Eukaryota; Metazoa; Chordata; Mammalia; Rodentia; Bathyergidae. The record is from RNAcentral.
UGCAAAAUGGUUCCUGUAAUGACACUCUUUCAAGAUGGCCAGGCUUCUGGUGAGCAAUAGCUGUUAUUUUUUCCCAUGGUGCUGGAUCAUCCACAGCGGAGCUGACCAGGUUUACGUGCCCUGCAGAGCCACUUGGGGUAAAUCAGAUGAAGGACGGAGGAUGGAGGCAUUCUGCACUCGAGUUAAAAUCAAGCCAAGAAAUGAAUCUCUUGUUAGGAAUUUUGCCUGGUGAAUCAUGUUGAACUGAGAGCUGUCUGUGGUGAGCACAGGCAAUAUCCAAUCACUAGCUGUACUUCACCUCCUCACAGUUACACCCUGCUGUGUGAGGAAAGUGUCUCUCUUCCUCAGAAAACAAGAUCCAAGGUGCAAAACCCAUCAACUGGGGCGUCAUGGAAUAUCUUGGAAAAUUUUAGAGCUAGUAAUUUCCUUCUGCCAGGAAUAAUUUGGUUUAGUCUUUCUUUUUCUAAAUGUCCACAUCAGCAGUGGAAUAGCAAAACAUGAAUUGGACUGCCUAUGGACCGUGAUUUACUGUCACUCUUUCCGACCAGGCUUAGACUACAGGCAGGUACUAACCCAGAAGGCAGAAGUCUGGAGGCCUGAAAGAAUUACAGGACAAAAUACUGGCCCCUCACAGGAACUGAGCAAGACUUGAGUGUCGGAAGUCCAGACAUGUAUUACAUUUAUUCAUUAAACAAUGAUGUACUGAGUGGCUAUGUUGAACCAUUUGCUUCAUCACACAACUGGGACACAUUGGUGGUGGAAUGCACAAGAAUCCUUGUGAAAUGAAGUCUGCACAUUCUAAAAGCAGGAGACCAGCAAUUAACAAUACAUGUGAUAACAGAGUAAAUUCUGCAGUGUGUUGGAAGCUGAGAAAUUCUACAGGAAAAAAUAAGGGCUGUUCACAGUGGCUGAGGAGCCUUCUGGGGCAUUUCAGCAGCGUCCCUGGACACAGUGAAUCGACAGACUUCUUUUUGAAAAACUUCUAUAAAGAGCUAUUGCUGCAUCCAGCAGGAAGCCAUAGACACAACUAUUUUACAUCUGCGUGAUGAAACAAUGUAUUUAUCAAAAGCAACCUCUAAGUAGGUUGCCAUUAUCAAAGACAUCAGCAGCCCAUCUCCCUGGGAGACAGUGAAACCCUGCAUUUAUCUAAAUUAUCUCGGUAAUAUGACGGAGUGAUUGCUCACUAAUGGUCAGUAAUAGUUUUCUUUGUCAUUUUCCUAGUCAUUACCUCCUCAGAAUGAACUCCAGAAUAAACUGCUUGGAGUCUGUGACUAGAAUGCUAAGUUCCACUUUGUGUUUGUGGCUGGUUCUUUCAAAUGCAUGAACUGGGCUAACAUAGUUCUGACAUUUCCAUUUUGUGCAGAAGAAUGCCCUGCCUUAGGAAGUCUGAUGGAUGCAGG